UACGGAAGGCAGCAGUGGGGAAUAUUGCACAAUGGGCGCAAGCCUGAUGCAGCCAUGCCGCGUGUAUGAAAAAGGCCUUCGGGUUGUAAAGUACUUUCAGUCGUGAGGAAGGUGUUAAGGUUAAUAACCUUAGCAAUUGACGUUAGCGACAGAAGAAGCACCGGCUAACUCCGUGCCAGCAGCCGCGGUAAUACGGAGGGUGCGAGCGUUAAUCGGAAUUACUGGGCGUAAAGGGCACGCAGGCGGUUAAUUAAGUUGGAUGUGAAAUCCCCGGGCUUAACCUGGGAAUGGCAUUCAAGACUGGUUAGCUAGAGUCUUGUAGAGGGGGGUAGAAUUCCAUGUGUAGCGGUGAAAUGCGUAGAGAUGUGGAGGAAUACCGGUGGCGAAGGCGGCCCCUGGACAGGGACUGACGCUCAUGUGCGAAAGCGUGGGGAGCAAACAGGGAUUAGAUACC
RNAcentral lists this ribosomal RNA (454 nucleotides) under uncultured bacterium. RNAcentral's name for it is "bacterial SSU rRNA". It matches the Rfam family "Bacterial small subunit ribosomal RNA", at positions 340 to 786 of the family's 1533-position model. The record is from RNAcentral.